UGGGGAAUUUUGGACAAUGGGCGCAAGCCUGAUCCAGCAAUGCCGCGUGCAGGAUGAAGGCCUUCGGGUUGUAAACUGCUUUUAUACCGGAGAAAACCUCUCCUCGUGAGGAGAGCUGAUAGUAUGGUAGGAAUAAGCACCGGCUAACUCCGUGCCAGCAGCCGCGGUAAUACGGAGGGUGCGAGCGUUGUCCGGAUUUAUUGGGUUUAAAGGGUGCGUAGGUGGUUGAGUAAGUCUGGUUUGAAAGUCAGUCGCUUAACGAUUGAGGGUGGCUGGAUACUGCUGAACUUGAAUGCCCUGGAGGUAGGAGGAACGGGUUGUGUAGCGGUGAAAUGCAUAGAUAUGACCCAAAACCCCAAUUGCGAAGGCAGCCUACUACGGGGUGAUUGACACUGAGGCACGAGAGCAUGGGGAGCAAACA
RNAcentral lists this ribosomal RNA (421 nucleotides) under uncultured bacterium. RNAcentral describes it as "bacterial SSU rRNA". It matches the Rfam family "Bacterial small subunit ribosomal RNA", at positions 355 to 774 of the family's 1533-position model. The record is from RNAcentral.